RNAcentral lists this ribosomal RNA (466 nucleotides) under uncultured bacterium. Its description in RNAcentral is "partial 16S ribosomal RNA". It matches the Rfam family "Bacterial small subunit ribosomal RNA", at positions 28 to 507 of the family's 1533-position model. The record is from RNAcentral.
GAUGAACGCUGGCGGCGUGCUUAACACAUGCAAGUCGAACGGAAAGGCUCCUGCUUGCAGGGGUACUCGAGUGGCGAACGGGUGAGUAACACGUGGGUGAUCUGCCCAGCACUUCGGGAUAAGCCUGGGAAACUGGGUCUAAUGCCGGAUAGGACGAUGGUUUGGAUGCCAUUGUGGAAAGUUUUUUCGGUGUGGGAUGAGCUCGCGGCCUAUCAGCUUGUUGGUGGGGUAAUGGCCUACCAAGGCGUCGACGGGUAGCCGGCCUGAGAGGGUGUACGGCCACAUUGGGACUGAGAUACGGCCCAGACUCCUACGGGAGGCAGCAGUGGGGAAUAUUGCACAAUGGGCGCAAGCCUGAUGCAGCGACGCCGCGUGGGGGAUGACGGCCUUCGGGUUGUAAACUCCUUUCGCUAGGGACGAAGCGCAAGUGACGGUACCUGGAGAAGAAGCACCGGCUAACUACGUG